UUUGGGAUAACCCCGGGAAACCGGGGCUAAUACCGAAUAUGACCUCUGACCGCAUGGUUGGUGGUGGAAAGUUUUUCGGCUUGGGAUGGGCUCGCGGCCUAUCAGCUUGUUGGUGGGGUGAUGGCCUACCAAGGCGACGACGGGUAGCCGGCCUGAGAGGGCGACCGGCCACACUGGGACUGAGACACGGCCCAGACUCCUACGGGAGGCAGCAGUGGGGAAUAUUGCACAAUGGGCGGAAGCCUGAUGCAGCGACGCCGCGUGAGGGAUGACGGCCUUCGGGUUGUAAACCUCUUUCAGCAGGGACGAAGCGUAAGUGACGGUACCUGCAGAAGAAGCGCCGGCCAACUACGUGCCAGCAGCCGCGGUAAGACGUAGGGCGCGAGCGUUGUCCGGAUUUAUUGGGCGUAAAGAGCUCGUAGGCGGCUUGUCGCGUCGACCGUGAAAACUUGGGGCUCAACCCCAAGCCUGCGGUCGAUACGGGCAGGCUAGAGUUCGGUAGGGGAGACUGGAAUUCCUGGUGUAGCGGUGAAAUGCGCAGAUAUCAGGAGGAACACCGGUGGCGAAGGCGGGUCUCUGGGCCGAUACUGACGCUGAGGAGCGAAAGCGUGGGGAGCGAACAGGAUUAGAUACCCUGGUAGUCCACGCUGUAAACGUUGGGCGCUAGGUGUGGGGGGCCUCUCCGGUUCCCUGUGCCGCAGCUAACGCAUUAAGCGCCCCGCCUGGGGAGUACGGCCGCAAGGCUAAAACU
RNAcentral lists this ribosomal RNA (751 nucleotides) under Micromonospora aurantiaca (nom. illeg.). RNAcentral's name for it is "bacterial SSU rRNA". It matches the Rfam family "Bacterial small subunit ribosomal RNA", at positions 137 to 901 of the family's 1533-position model. Lineage: Bacteria; Bacillati; Actinomycetota; Actinomycetes; Micromonosporales; Micromonosporaceae. The record is from RNAcentral.